This 76-nucleotide transfer RNA is filed under the name Pseudomonas putida. RNAcentral describes it as "tRNA-Thr". It matches the Rfam family "tRNA". Rfam says of the family: Transfer RNA (tRNA) molecules are approximately 80 nucleotides in length. Their secondary structure includes four short double-helical elements and three loops (D, anti-codon, and T loops). Further hydrogen bonds mediate the characteristic L-shaped molecular structure. tRNAs have two regions of fundamental functional importance: the anti-codon, which is responsible for specific mRNA codon recognition, and the 3' end, to which the tRNAs corresponding amino acid is attached (by aminoacyl-tRNA synthetases). tRNAs cope with the degeneracy of the genetic code in two manners: having more than one tRNA (with a specific anti-codon) for a particular amino acid; and 'wobble' base-pairing, i.e. permitting non-standard base-pairing at the 3rd anti-codon position. The record is from RNAcentral. RNAcentral also lists the same sequence under 31 other names. Lineage: Bacteria; Pseudomonadati; Pseudomonadota; Gammaproteobacteria; Pseudomonadales; Pseudomonadaceae.
GCCGGUGUAGCUCAGUCGGUAGAGCAGCGCACUCGUAACGCGAAGGUCGUAGGUUCGAUUCCUAUCCCCGGCACCA